RNAcentral lists this long non-coding RNA (224 nucleotides) under Struthio camelus australis. RNAcentral's name for it is "lncRNA (ENSSCUG00000018535.1)". The record is from RNAcentral. Lineage: Eukaryota; Metazoa; Chordata; Aves; Struthioniformes; Struthionidae.
CUGAGUUCUCCCACCGCAGAAAGAACUAGAAGAGAGUUCUUGAGGAACAGAGGGAUCAUCAAAGAUUCAGAAUGGUUCUACAGGAUUCUCCUGAGUUUAUCAACCUACGCACCUAGAACCUUUUGAAUUCUGGUUGCAUUCAAGGUAACGACUGACUUGUGUUUUGUGUGCUAGUGAGUAAUCAGAUUGUCAAUAGCCAGGGAAUGGUCAUUCUUACUUAAAUC